UUCUCACCACAGACUCGUGGACGGCUUGACACCAGCAUUUCCACUCCUCUUCGGGGGGGCCGGCAAAUAAUGGAGUCGCUGUUUCCAGUUUGACUUCGAGGAGCCAUCAAAUCCCCAUGAUGUCAAUUAUCUAGUCAACGGGUCUGAGAUCGAUUGAGCACCCUGCAAACCUCGAUGUUUUUGAGCCCCUUCACGGGGAGCUCGACGGAGAGAGUGGGGUGGCUUAAGUCACUAUAUUCCAAAUCUUUUCGCAGAUGCCGUCGGCAGGUGAUGCUAAAGACUCACCAUGGUGAAUACAGUU
Pseudogymnoascus pannorum is the source of this 301-nucleotide non-coding RNA. NCBI's taxonomy places the organism in Eukaryota, Fungi, Ascomycota, Leotiomycetes, Thelebolales, Thelebolaceae. The record is from Rfam.